GACGAACGCUGGCGGCGUGCCUAAUACAUGCAAGUAGAACGCUGAAGAGAGGAGCUUACUCUUCUUGGAUGAGUUGCGAACGGGUGAGUAACGCGUAGGUAACCUGCCUUGUAGCGGGGGAUAACUAUUGGAAACGAUAGCUAAUACCGCAUAACAAUGGCUGACACAUGUCAUUUAUUUGAAAGGGGCAAUUGCUCCACUACAAGAUGGACCUGCGUUGUAUUAGCUAGUAGGUGAGGUAAUGGCUCACCUAGGCGACGAUACAUAGCCGACCUGAGAGGGUGAUCGGCCACACUGGGACUGAGACACGGCCCAGACUCCUACGGGAGGCAGCAGUAGGGAAUCUUCGGCAAUGGGGGCAACCCUGACCGAGAAACGCCGCGUGAGGGAAGAAGGUUUUCGGAUCGUAAAGCUCUGUUGUAAGUCAAGAACGGGUGUGAGAGUGGAAAGUUCACACUGUGACGGUAGCUUAACAGAAAGGGACGGCUAACUACGUG
Molecule: ribosomal RNA, 497 nt
Filed under: uncultured bacterium
Lineage: Bacteria
Description: partial 16S ribosomal RNA
Rfam family: Bacterial small subunit ribosomal RNA
Source: RNAcentral